AGAAAGUGCGUCUGGCGGCGGC
This 22-nucleotide microRNA is filed under the name Ixodes ricinus (castor bean tick). RNAcentral's name for it is "iri-miR-X3-5p". The record is from RNAcentral. Lineage: Eukaryota; Metazoa; Arthropoda; Arachnida; Ixodida; Ixodidae.